UCUGUUAGCAUGUGAAGAUAAUUAUUUUUAAAUUACGUGGGUGUUUGGCCUAUCUUUUGAAAAGUAAUUUUUGACUCAAAUAUAAGGUCCGUUUGGUCUAGAUUUGGAAAAAAUAAUUUCUGUAGAAUUGAUUUUAGUUUGAAAAAGUAAUUUCUGUUAGAAGCUAUAGAGCGUUUGGCAAAAUUCGGUAGAAAAAUAGUUUUGCUGAAGUGAUUUUAGAAAGCUGUUUAACAAAUUUUUUUCCUGAAGUGAUUUGUAAUGCUCUUUAAUAUUAGUUUAUUAAUUUAUUUUUUAGUGAAGUGAUUUUUAGAUUUAAACAUCAAAGAAGGUUACAUAUAAAAUAUUAUAUUAAUUUAUUAAUGUAUAUUAAUAAUUAAAAUGUUUUAAAAUUAUACUUUUAUAUAUAAAAUAUAUCUUUCAUAAAAAUUUAAUUUUAAGUUCUGUUGAAAUACAAAUAAAAGUUUUGAUCGAUUCAAAUCGGUCACAUUUUGAUUUUUUAUAAUCACAUUCCUAUUUAUCGCGCCGGUAGCACCCAAUUCGGCCGGAUUCGGCCUUGCCGAGACCCGUCGGCAAGGAUUCUGUAAGGACGGAUCCUGCGGGCAAGGAUCCGAUUAAAUCUGGCCAAAUUCGGCAAGGACGGAUCCCGCCGGCACGGAUUUGGCAGACCAGUCGAGCCAUAGGGGAAGGGAGAGAGAGAUAAAGAGAGAAAUCUAUUAAAAAAAAAGGGAAGAGGGAUAGAGAUGGAGAAGCUAAAGAAGAGAGGAAGGUAAAAAAAAAUUUUGUUGGAGAGGAGUUGGGAAGAGAGUUAUAUGUGGGAAGAGUGAAUGGGAGAGAGCCGAGGAUAAUUGAAAAUAUUAAUUGAAUAUAAAAGUAUAGAGUAUAAUUAUGUUAUUUAUUUAGCGGUAUUUUGGGUUUUUUUUAUAAAAAUUUUAAGUGGGAAAACUAAUUUAUGGGAAUCAGUUUUGGAGAAGCAGAUAUUUUUUGUUGCUUUUGAUUUUGGGGCUUGACAAAUUAGUUUUCUGAUUCUGAAAAAUAGAAUCAAAUUUUCUAACUUUUGUUGCCAAAUGCUCUACUGAGCCAAAAUCACUUUUCAAGGCUCAAAAUCAGAAACAACUAAAAUCUGUUUCUUAACAUUUGAUUCUAAUUUAAGACUCAAAUUUUAAAUUUUUAUUUUAAUUUUAGAUCAACAACAGGCUAGCGAGCCAAUGAGUAUCUAUCGAGCCAUGCAUGCUCACCCGGCUUACUUGAGCACCUUCUUUCCCUUUUCCGAAGACUACUUCGGCCGACAAUCAUCGUCAAAACGCGAUACUCGUUGAUGUGGGCCCCCUUGAUGUCCUCGAAAACUUCCCCCAAGAAACAAUCACCAACGAACCAGCGAGUCAUUUCAGCGGCUACCCAACUGACUUCCUGGUCGCAAGAUACAGCUAACGAGACUACGUCGUUUUCCUUCCUG
RNAcentral lists this long non-coding RNA (1453 nucleotides) under Ananas comosus (pineapple). RNAcentral's name for it is "long non-coding RNA (ACOM_LNC013531)". Lineage: Eukaryota; Viridiplantae; Streptophyta; Magnoliopsida; Poales; Bromeliaceae. The record is from RNAcentral.